AUUGAACGCUGGCGGCAUGCUUUGCACAUGCAAGUCGAACGGUAACAGGCCGCAAGGUGCUGACGAGUGGCGAACGGGUGCGUAAUGCAUCGGAACGUGCCCAGUCGUGGGGGAUAACUACUCGAAAGAGUAGCUAAUACCGCAUACGAUCUAUGGAUGAAAGCGGGGGACCGUAAGGCCUCGCGCGAUUUGAGCGGCCGAUGCCAGAUUAGGUAGUUGGUGGGGUAAAGGCUCACCAAGCCAACGAUCUGUAGCUGGUCUGAGAGGACGACCAGCCACACUGGGACCGAGACACGGCCCAGACUCCUACGGGAGGCAGCAGUGGGGAAUUUUGGACAAUGGGCGCAAGCCUGAUCCAGCAAUGCCGCGUGCAGGAAGAAGGCCUUCGGGUUGUAAACUGCUUUUGUACGGAACGAAACGGCUCUGGUUAAUACCCGGGGCUAAUGACGGUACCGUAAGAAUAAGCACCGGCUAACUACGUG
RNAcentral lists this ribosomal RNA (482 nucleotides) under uncultured bacterium. RNAcentral describes it as "partial 16S ribosomal RNA". It matches the Rfam family "Bacterial small subunit ribosomal RNA", at positions 30 to 507 of the family's 1533-position model. The record is from RNAcentral.